AUUGGAGGCGGGCGCCGCCCCGCCCCUCGAGGGCAGGGAGCUCCAGGCCGCAGCUACCCGGAGAAGUCGGGGAUUAAGUUGCUAAAGCGUUUGGCCGCCCGCGAACCCCCAGGCACAGCCACCAGCCCUUGCCCUUCACCUCAACCUCCCCACCAGAACAAGAAGGGUCCCCGCGGUUGUGGUCCAGGCCGACGUCCCCAUGUCACAGAUGGGAAGGUUGCACUUAGCAAUGGGAAAACUCUUCCAUCUCCAGUGCAGGGCUGGUGGUAAGCUUGCUUUUCCCUUCCAUCCUGUGAGCUGGAGACAGCGGUAAGGGGGGG
Long non-coding RNA from Ochotona princeps (American pika), 320 nucleotides. RefSeq lists it as uncharacterized. NCBI's taxonomy places the organism in Eukaryota, Metazoa, Chordata, Mammalia, Lagomorpha, Ochotonidae. The record is from RefSeq and is a predicted model, not a curated record. The transcript is spliced from 3 exons.